Oreochromis aureus is the source of this 4040-nucleotide long non-coding RNA. NCBI's taxonomy places the organism in Eukaryota, Metazoa, Chordata, Actinopteri, Cichliformes, Cichlidae. The record is from Ensembl.
GAGGCCUGAGCGUGUCACAUGGACAUGAUAUAAUGAAAAGGCAGGAACAGAGUGAGUGCGCUGGGCUCUUUGCUAAAGGAGAGGGGAGCAGAAAUGUACGCAGUCAUCUGCCGACAGUGUAGAGGGCCAGCGGGGCCGAGCCCAACCGAACGCUGCCGAUCUCGACCGGGCUGGGCCGAGCCGGACAGACUGCGCCUCAUCGGACGGGACCUCUGUGUUCGCCGUUGCACCUGCCAGCUGUGACACGCACUUUAAAAGAGGAGGAAAAUGUCGCCCGUGCGUGCGCAUAUUUCGCACAGUCCCGGAGCAAAGGAGGAGCGCCCUUCGGUGCUCUGCUGGAAGCGAAUGCAUGCUGCAGACGCCUAUGGGCUUCAAAUCAGCAAACAGCACUGGAAUGACGCACCCCUGGCUAAAAGGCGCAGAUGGGAGCAGACGGACGGACGGCAGCGAGGAUGACAUCACUGUUACCCGUGGGAGCCUGGGCCUGUCAUUCUUGGUGUCACUUCCUGGGAGAGAAUAGAAGAGGAAGCCAGAGCGAGAGCCGACAACGGGCGCUCCCCUCACCUCCACAAGGAAGCCUUUUUCCCCCGAGAGCAUAAUGUGUGUCCGCUUGUGUCCCUCGCUCACUCCUGCAUUCAUCCCACAGAGGGCUGGUGCUGGUUCAGAAUUUGUGUAAGCCCUGAUUGUUUUCAUUUUCUUUGGGCUCAAGUCUGAGCCUUUUCCAACAAAUCCUUUGAAGAGCUUAUUAUUUUACAUUUCAACGGUAGUUAAAAUAAGUCACAGUGGUGACUUUAUGGGUACGGAUGCAGUAAGCUGUGCCUCUGCAGGCUUUAUUUUGCUGCCCUGGGUCAGCAGUGUUUGGGGAAAAGCUCCGUUUGGAGGGAUAAAAAAACGUGGAGGCCACAGUGACGUCACCUGAUGGUGUUGGACUCUGGGUCGGGGUGAGGCUCGAUCCCUAGCAUUUUGGCCACUGCCACACUUUGUUUCUAUGCUGGAGUUUUCCCAUAUUGGACAAAAGGGGCGAGUGAUACAUUAAAGGUAAUCCUAGCAAGGUUAGCAAGCUGCAUGUGUAGCUUGCAUGGGUCCAGUGGACGCACAUCAUUUCUAAUUAGUCCUUUCCCUGAAUGGUGUAAGCCUCACAUAUUUGUCAGGUGAUUCUGUUUAACUCCAAAAGGCUCCAACAGGAACAGUCCAGUUUGACUCCAGUCUGCACAGAGCCCUCAGUUAACCCCUCAACAUCCACUCGUGUCACCAGAUCAACGAUUAUUCGUAUUGCUGUUUGUUGAUAUUGUGUUACUGUUGUAAAAUGCAGUGACGUGGCUGAAACUACAGCGAGUCAUCAGAAAGAUCAAUGAGCUUCUCUUCCUGUUGGAGUGUUCACAGACAAGAUAAUGGCUGAAAUAAGUUAGUAAGCUCUAUUUAAAUGCCAGCUCGUCAUGAACUUUGAUUUUCUUUUUUAAUCAUGAGGCUUUGUGAUGAUUCAUGUCUGUGUUAAGGUGCUAGCGUAGCUGAUUCAGAGCUGCUAAUGAGUAGAUGUGUUGUUCUACUUGUUUGUCUUCAUCCAACUGAGCAACUCAAACGUAACCAGCUUAGUGCAUACACAGCAUCUUUGUACUAUCCAUCACAUCUACUGUGCAGGCAUACAAAGCAGACACACAUCCUGCUACCUGAUUUGUUUUACACAAAUCCUGAACUCAAAAUGAGCAGGACGCGCUGUGGUUUAGGCGCUGGCAGGCUCUGGUGAGUCUGUGUUUAAAGGCAAAGAAAGGAUGGAAAGAUGACUGCAAUGUAAAAAUGAAAUUAAAGAUGUCCAGGUUUCGGUCCCCGGGACAAGUCACAGCUUUGUUGGAUUGUUUUGUACCGCCGCUGUUUCAUGAAAUGUAUUCCUGGCUGCCCUACAGUGGAUUUGCUUCUGACCUUUGACCUCUCUAACCAACACAAGUGUAUCAAAGCUGAGCCCUCCCUUUGAGGACCCGCAUGGACGUUAUAGAUGUAAUGUCGCCCUCUUGUGUGUGAAUAUAAAAUUGCAGGAUUAAUAUACGAUGUCUUUACAAAACACUGUCUGGUGAAUUUCAGCACUUCUCAGUGUGAGAUCGUAACAUCGGAUGUGGGCAGCUGUUAGAUGGCUCCGCCCUCCAAAGCCUCCACCUCUCUGCAGCACCGACAGCGUAAAGACUUUGUAACCUGGAGGCUCCGAUCGUGGGACACACCUCUGAUCAUCUGACACCCAUGUUUCAAACACCUGGGAGGGCCGCUGGGACAAUGCAUGUACUGUUAGAUUUGUUGUCAUGACGACCUUGCUGGUUAUGUAAGCACUGGGCUCUGGUUCCCACAAACAGUGGUGCACGCAGGUCUUUGUGCUGUGACACUAGAAACCACACACACAGUCACAGUUUGUACAUUCCUCCAGCUGCUCACAUGUCACCCUGCAGCGACUGCAACGAGACAUUUAACCCUCAGAGAUGAUCCAAACCUUAACCCUGUGCUAUCAGCAUGUGUGCUUAAGGUGAGGGCUGUGGCCGACUCGGGGCUGAUACUUUGUUGCAGUUUAACAUCAAGAAUUUGGGUGGCACAGUUUCUUUCAGUAAUUCAGUAAAUUUGUUUCAGUUCCCACCAAAACUGAAGUAAGCUUGCUGGUUUUCUUGGAUUUUUGCUGAUUUCUUGAGCUUGGCCACAAUUUCUCUGGUUGGCUGUUAGUUUCACAACUCCUCCAGUCUGCAUGUUGAGAUGUCAUGUGUGCCACAGGCACAGUACUUUGAGUAAUAAGUGCUAUAGUGAUGCAGUUGGUUAAACUAGCAGGUUCCUCUCUGUAACCUUGAUUGAAUCCAAAGAUUUCGUGACCCUAAAGCAGACUCACAUUUACCAGCUUCUCUGUUGCUCAGGUGCUUCUUCACAUGCUCUGUCUCUCUGGCAACAGCCUGGAAAUGCUGCUGCUCUGGACCAACAACAAUAAAUGUGUGUGUAGAGGUACCCAUGUGUCCGUCUGUACUGAUGGAGCUGAUGUGCCACAUAGAUUUGGCUCUGUAAAGUUAAAUGACGUUGAGCAUACUCAUGUACAUAUCCAUCCAUUCACACUGGUUUUCCUCUCUUACGUCAUGUGGUUCUGUUUUUCUUCUUCCCCUCUGUGUCUGUGGAAGGUGGCAGGUCGUGAGCGUAGACUGACGUGGACUAGAGUGAGUGCUCGUCAUUAUGCUUGUGAUGUCUGAGAGAGCACAAACGCCGUUCACAGUAGCCUCUAUGCAUUCCUCCUGUGGCAGGCGUCCCUGUCUUAUGCUGUCAGCCUCACUUUUUAUGUGACGUCUGUUCUGUUUGAAUUCAUCUUCAUUGCUGGAAGCAAGUAUUCAGGUGCCAGCUGCUCAUGAUGCUGGACUGGCAUAGCAACAGCAGCAAAAAGAAGAGCUGUCACACAGUGCACAGAGCGCAGCAGGGCUGAGAUCACCGUGAUGAGCAGGGCAAAGCCUGCCUCCUCUCUACGACUCACAUUAGACAAGUUGUCCAAAAAUGGUCCAACAGAGAAAAAGUGAAGGUUGAAGGAGAGAGAUCACAGAAAGUCGAUGACAAGCAGCUACAGGGUCACCUAGGCAACUGGAGCCUGGAAUGUCCGCUAGCAACCAAUCGUCAGCUUCAAAGCAAUGCACGACAGCUCGAUGACUUCCUGUGUGGAUGAAAAGUGUUAUAGCUCAUGUUCACAUGCAGUGAAUGCUGAUUCUGAUGGUUGUUUUAAAGUUUGAGGGGUUUUCCAAGUGAAUGUUUGCAGGUAUCCACACAGACUUCAGACAGGCCUGCCUUUAAGUCCUAAAUUUUAAAAUAGUAGACAACUUUCUGUGCUAGAGGUAUCAUAUAUGCAAUGAUAGCAAUAAUAUUUUAAAAUUUAAUAAUACAAAUAAAAAGCUGGUAGUUGUUCUUUUUGUACAUGGUUAUAGGAUUUUCAGUGUAGUUCCCUUGCUUCUGUAGAUUUGAUAAUGAUACCAUUACAUUUCCUUUGUUUUUGCUCAUAGUUGUGGAGUGAAAAUGUAAUAAUGUGACAGUAAAUAUGGAAU